CCUCAUUUGUAUCUUCAGGUCUCCCAGUAAUGGAUAAGAAUUCACAGACUUUUAUCCUCAUCAUACUCUUAGCAAGGGGAUGUUAUCCUGUGCUACCGUGACCACCAGCAUUUGGGGAGAUGGAAGCUGCAUUUAAGGAUUCUGCCAGGCAAAAGAGAGAAGUGACCCUGGACCCUUCAGUUCAUAGAGAGCUGGUUGGCACUUACUUUGGUUGGCCCAAAGGAAAUACAAUCAAGUGUGUGUGAAAGAGCAAGCACUGGGUCACAGCUCCGAGAGCAGCAGUAAGAAGCACUCUUUCUCUGCAAAGCAAGGGGCUUAUGGGCAAAACACAGCCAUUCUCAGACAGCUCAAUGAAACACACACAACCUGAACAAAAACAGCAGCACCAUGACUUUUCCUUGUCACAGCUCAAAGGAGGAAGCAACUGCAUCUGCUACCCAGACUGCACGCUGCUAUUUCCAGGUGUGUUUUCCCCCUGCCAAACCUGCAGCAUAGGAAGCAAGCCCUGCCUGUUGCAUGGCUGGCUAAUCUCCUAUCAUUCAUUCUUCCAUUCAGCAAUGUAGCAUUGUGUGUUCUGUGUUUGGUAUUGCUGAAAUAAAGAGCAUAACUUGAGACAGAGUACAUAUGCCUGAAGAUUUUCUAGAAAGCAUAAACCUGAAGAAGAGAACAAAUUUUGCAUUGUGACCUUUAUUUUGAACUUCUUUACUUUCUUGCAGUGUGGGACAG
Molecule: long non-coding RNA, 726 nt
Organism: Gallus gallus (chicken)
Lineage: Eukaryota; Metazoa; Chordata; Aves; Galliformes; Phasianidae
Source: Ensembl